Long non-coding RNA from Hyaena hyaena (striped hyena), 208 nucleotides. RefSeq lists it as uncharacterized. The record is from RefSeq and is a predicted model, not a curated record. The transcript is spliced from 3 exons. Lineage: Eukaryota; Metazoa; Chordata; Mammalia; Carnivora; Hyaenidae.
GCCAAGACAGAGCUUUCAUCUGGAGUUAGGAACAUUACUCUCCGUGUCCGAAACUUCACACAGAUUGAACCCAGGUGGAGCCUACUGGAAGAUUCUCCAAAGUUCUGUGGCAGGGGCUCCAGGCUGAAUGAAUCCACGACAGCCAGCCAUUUGUUAUUUUCAGAGUCUUCCAGCUGAAACCGAAGCGUUUUUCUUUGGAAUCCUUUAC